This is a long non-coding RNA of Magnolia sinica, 376 nucleotides long. RefSeq lists it as uncharacterized. NCBI's taxonomy places the organism in Eukaryota, Viridiplantae, Streptophyta, Magnoliopsida, Magnoliales, Magnoliaceae. The transcript is spliced from 3 exons. The record is from RefSeq and is a predicted model, not a curated record.
CUACAGGAAAAUACCCUUUUAUGGGCUUUUCUUUGCAUCUGCCCCUAUCUGCAUUAUAAAACUUUUUGAAUAGGAAGAUUUUGUUUCAUUUAAACAACAGGAAUAAAAGAUUCAAACACUGGGUUAGCUGCACCCAACUGGUGGAAUCUUGUUUCUGAUAAACAAAUGAUGCAAGAGGAGCAGCCUCUUCAGGUUGCAAGAUGCACAAAAAUAAUAAACCAGAAUUCUAAGGAAGCAAAGUAUGUAAUAAAUGUCAAGCAAAUUGCCAAGUUUCUUGUUGGUUUGGGCGAUAAAGUUUCACCAACAGAUAUUGAAGAAGGCAUGCAUGUCAGGUAAGUUCAAUUUUCCAUUAUUUAUUUCUUUGACUUUCUUAUUU